RNAcentral lists this ribosomal RNA (1172 nucleotides) under Neodidymelliopsis sp. 3 FTA-2017. Its description in RNAcentral is "partial 28S ribosomal RNA". It matches the Rfam family "Eukaryotic large subunit ribosomal RNA", at positions 47 to 1277 of the family's 3401-position model. Lineage: Eukaryota; Fungi; Ascomycota; Dothideomycetes; Pleosporales; Didymellaceae. The record is from RNAcentral.
UAUGCAGGGAGUAGACAACAGGGAUUGCCCUAGUAACGGCGAGUGAAGCGGCAACAGCUCAAAUUUGAAAUCUGGCGUCUUUGGCGUCCGAGUUGUAAUUUGCAGAGGGCGCUUUGGCAUCGGCAGCGGUCCAAGUUCCUUGGAACAGGACGUCACAGAGGGUGAGAAUCCCGUACGUGAUCGCUAGCCUUUACCGUGUAAAGCCCCUUCGACGAGUCGAGUUGUUUGGGAAUGCAGCUCUAAAUGGGAGGUAAAUUUCUUCUAAAGCUAAAUACUGGCCAGAGACCGAUAGCGCACAAGUAGAGUGAUCGAAAGAUGAAAAGCACUUUGGAAAGAGAGUUAAAAAGCACGUGAAAUUGUUGAAAGGGAAGCGCUUGCAGCCAGACUUGCCUGUAGUUGCUCAUCCGGGUUUCUACCCGGUGCACUCUUCUAUAGGCAGGCCAGCAUCAGUUUGGGCGGUUGGAUAAAGGUCUCUGUCAUGUACCUCUCUUCGGGGAGAACUUAUAGGGGAGACGACAUGCAACCAGCCCGGACUGAGGUCCGCGCAUCUGCUAGGAUGCUGGCGUAAUGGCUGUAAGCGGCCCGUCUUGAAACACGGACCAAGGAGUCUAACAUCUAUGCGAGUGUUUGGGUGUCAAGCCCGAACGCGUAAUGAAAGUGAACGGAGGUGGGAACCUUUCGGGGUGCACCAUCGACCGAUCCUGAUGUCUUCGGAUGGAUUUGAGUAAGAGCAUAGCUGUUGGGACCCGAAAGAUGGUGAACUAUGCUUGAAUAGGGUGAAGCCAGAGGAAACUCUGGUGGAGCUCGCAGCGGUUCUGACGUGCAAAUCGAUCGUCAAAUUUGGGCAUAGGGGCGAAAGACUAAUCGAACUAUCUAGUAGCUGGUUCCUGCCGAAGUUUCCCUCAGAUAGCAGUAACGUUUUCAGUUUUAUGAGUAAAGCGAAUGAUAGAGGCCUGGGGGUUGAAACAACUUCACCUAUCUCAACUUUAAAUAUGUAGAGUCCUGUACUGAUGACGUGACGUGAUGUAUCGUACUAGUGGGCAUUUUGUUAGCAGACUGCGAUGCCGAAUGAACGAGCGGGUAGUGCAGAUUACGCUCAUCGACCCACAAAUGGUAGUCACUGACGCAGACGUGCAUGAUCGAUCGCUAGAUGGUACACUCACUUCGAAUGA